This is a long non-coding RNA of Aquila chrysaetos chrysaetos, 112 nucleotides long. RefSeq lists it as uncharacterized. The record is from RefSeq and is a predicted model, not a curated record. The transcript has 3 exons. NCBI's taxonomy places the organism in Eukaryota, Metazoa, Chordata, Aves, Accipitriformes, Accipitridae.
CUGCUCAUUAGCCUGACAAGUUCAGGUGCCCGCCUGAAGGAGGAGCAAGGAUGAUAAAAGGACACAAACUGAAGCCCACUGGAACUGGACCCCUCGGCUGACUGGACCUCUC